This 349-nucleotide ribosomal RNA is filed under the name uncultured bacterium. Its description in RNAcentral is "bacterial SSU rRNA". It matches the Rfam family "Bacterial small subunit ribosomal RNA", at positions 29 to 406 of the family's 1533-position model. The record is from RNAcentral.
AGCGAACACUGGCGGCAGGCUUAACACAUGCAAGUCGAGCGCCCGGCAACCGGGAGCGGCAGACGGGAGAGUAACACGUGGGAACGUGCCCUUCAGUUCGGAACAACCCAGGGAAACUUGGGCUAAUACCGGAUAAGCCCUUACGGGGAAAGAUUUAUCGCUGAAGGAUCGGCCCGCGUCUGAUUAGCUAGUUGGUGGGGUAAUGGCCCACCAAGGCGACGAUCAGUAGCUGGUCUGAGAGGAUGAUCAGCCUCACUGGGACUGAGACACGGCCCAGACUCCUACGGGAGGCAGCAGUGGGGAAUAUUGGACAAUGGGCGCAAGCCUGAUCCAGCCAUGCCGCGUGGGU